This 8423-nucleotide long non-coding RNA is filed under the name Triticum aestivum (bread wheat). RNAcentral describes it as "long non-coding RNA (TAES_LNC005376)". Lineage: Eukaryota; Viridiplantae; Streptophyta; Magnoliopsida; Poales; Poaceae. The record is from RNAcentral.
UUAGAGGCAUAACCGCAUUGAAAGCAAUGUCGCAAGUGAGGUAAUCUUCACACAACCCAUGUAAUACAUAAGGGAAAGAGAUACAUAGUUGGCUUACAAUCGCCACUUCACACAAUUACAUGAAUAAAGCAUUACAUCAUCCAGAUACAAUCAAGGUCCGACUACGGAACCAAAAUAAAAGAAGAACCCCAAAUGCGACAAAGGUCCCCGAUCGACCCCAACUGGGCUCCACUACUGAUCAACUAGAACGAAACAACACAAAGGGCAAGAUCUUCAUCGAGCUCCUCCUUGAGCUUGGUUGCGUCAUCUGCACGGUAACAUAGGCACCUGCAAACUGGUUUUGGAAGUAUCUGUGAGCCACGGGGACUCAGCAAUCUCGCACCCGCGAGAUCAAGACUAUUUAAGCUUAUAGGAAGGAUGGAGUAAUGAGGUGGAGCUGCAGCAAGCGACUAGCAUAUAUGGUGGCUACAAUCGCAAAAGAGAGCGAGAAGAGAGGGCAAAGCACGGUCGAUAAAAGUAUGAUGAAGAAGUGAUCCUAUAGCAACCUACGUCAAGCAUAACUCCAACACCGUGUUCACUUCCCGGACUCCGCCGGAAAGAGACCAUCACGGUUACACACACGGUUGAUGUAUUUUAAUUAAGGUCAACUUCGGGUUUUCUACAACCGGACGUUAACAAAUUCCCAUCUGCCCAUAACCGCGGGCACGGCUUUCGAAAGUUCAAAUCCCUGCAGGGGUGUCCCAACUUAGCCCAUGACAAGCUCUCACGGUCAACGAAGGAAUAGACCUCCACCCGAGAUGUUCCGAUCAGACUCGGUAUCCCGGUACAACAAGACAUUUCGACAGGGUAAAACUAAACCAGCAGCACCGCCCGAAUGUGCCGACAAAUCCCGUUAGGAGCUGCACAUAUCUCUUUCUCAGGGCACACUCAGAUGAGCAAUCCGUACAACUAAAACCAAACCUCGAGUUUCCCCGAGGGGGCGCUGCACAGGGCUCUAGUUCGGACCAACACUCAGAGGAGCACUGGCCCGGGGGGGGGGGUUAAAAAAUGAUGACCCUUGAGUCUGCAGAACCCAAGGGAAAGAAAAGGCUAGGUGACAAAUGGUAAAACCAAUGUUGGGCAUUGCUGGAGAAGCUUUACUAAAGGCGAACUGUCAAGGGGUUCCCAUUAUAGCCCAACCGCGUAAGGAACGCAAAAUCCGGGAACAUAACACCGAUAUGACGGAAACUAGGGUGGCAAGAGUGGAACAAAACACCAGGCAUAAGGCCGAGCCUUCCACCCUUUACCAAGUAUAUAGAUGCAUUAAUUUAAUAAGAUAUAUUGUGAUAUCCCAACAAGUAAACAUGUUCCAACAAGGAACAUCAUCUCCAUGUUCCAACAAGGAACAAACUUCAAUCUUCACCUGCAACUAACAAUGCUAUAAGAGGGGCUGAGCAAAGCGGUAACAUAGCCAAUCAAUGGUUUGCUAGGACAUGGUGGGUUAGAGGUUUGACAUGGCAAUUUGGGAGGCUGACCAGCAAAUGGUAGGCAUCGUAGCAUUGGCAUAGCAAAAGAGCGAGCAAACUAGCAUAGCAAAGAUAGUGGUGAUUUCGAGGGUAUGAUCAUCUUGCCUGAGAUCCCGCAAGGAAGAAGAACGAGUCCAUGAAGAAGACAAACGGCCGUAGACGAACAAAUCCUCACAACUCCGGAACGAAACCGAAGCUAACGAGAGAAGCAACCCGGAAAGAAACAAACAACAUGGUAAACACACAAGCAUAAACAAGUCAUGAUGCACAAACAAGUAUGAUGCAUGUCCGGUUUAAUGAGGCAUGGCAUGGCAAAGUGCAACAAACAAUACUACAAGUUAAGUGGAGCUCAAUAUGCAACGAGGUGCAUGUUGACGAAACACCACAUCAAUUAUUUAGUUAUCUCUCGUUUAAGCUACCCAACAAUAUUAACUGUUGUUAAACAUGGCAAGAGGUGAAGCAUAAUAUAAACUAUACCAUCUAAACAAUUUAAAUGGGGCCGGAUAUAAAAACAACAAAUCCGGUAAAUCCCCAUAUGCAUUUAGCAAUUUAAUGCAACAACAAGUUUAAACAUUUUAAAUGUUGUUAUCAUGAUGCGGAUGACAUAUACAAGUUUUAUGCAAUUUUAUGAAAAUGUUGACAUGAGCAUGUUAUGAAGCAUUUGGUCACCAUGGCGGAACAAAAAGGGUGCCACGGCGGCGAAACAAAAAUGGUGCCACGGCAACUUCCGGUCCCGGUAACUCAUGGAGAUACCGGUGCAAAAGGAGGCGUGCGGAUGUGCGGAACAUGCUAGAGAUGGUGGGGUGAUCCCGGUUACCGGGUUCCCACGGUUCAUCGGCAUGACGAACGAGGAGGAACGUGCAUGAAGCAAACGGGCAUGGUGCAAACAUAGGGUGCAUCUCAUACAACACAAGCAUUCGGUCCACGGAUGGCGUCUCGGGGUUAUACCUUUGAAGCGUGCAUUUUCAAAGCGAAUCGGUUCGGAGGGGAAGUAGUCGUUCUCGCGACGGUAGAGGUUCACGUUUCGUAGUCGUUCGAGCCAUCGGUAGCGGUACUUGAUGAAUCCCGAAACGAACUUGGCGUCUUCGUGCGUAGGGGUACUUGGCGUUUCCGGAGACGACGGUAGAGGUACUUGACGCGUCCUUGUGGUACUUGGCAAAAAUCAUAGAGACGAUGCUUGGCGGUCCUGGGAUGGUCUUGGCGUCCAUGUAGUCGAUCUUGCAGAUCUUGACGGUCCAACACAAAACAUCACAAGGGGCCUCGUGAGCGAUGACGAUGCUGAGCAGGAACUUGGGCGAACUGCAUUGGCUGAAACGGAAGGUGGGGGUCGGCUUGUAGCAGAGGAACGGCAGGAGCAGGGGAGCUCCAGCAGGGACCGAGGCGCGGCAGGGGAGGACCCUGGCGAGGCACAGCCAGGUCCGGUGGUGGCGGCAGCAGGCUCUAGUGGUGGCGAAAGGGCGCGACGACGAUGGGGCCCCUGGUCGCCAUAGAGGAAGCAGAGGAAGGCGCGGGUGGCCAUGGCGCUGAGCGACGAGCUGCUGCUGCUCGAAGCGGACAGAGGCAACUAGGGGGCACGGACGAGGCCGGGAAGACGGGGAUGAGCGCCCAGGUCGCAGGGGAGGCGGGCGACGGAGCAAGAGGUGCACGGAGGCCUCGAUGUGCAGGGGGUCGCUGGGCAGGGACAACGGCCGCGGGACUUGGCGCGGCAGCGGCUUCGGGCCGGACCAAGGAGGAGGGCAGCGAGGGGAUCACGUGCAGAGGCGACGGGGCCGCCGGAGUUGGUCUCUAGGUGGUGUUGCGGAGGCCGGGCGCGGGGCCGGCAGGGGCGUGGUCGCGGGGCUCGGGAGGAGAAGCAGGGCGCGGCGAGCGAAGACGGGGCGGCGUCGGGCGCACAGGGCGAGGAGAAGGGCGAGGAGGUCCUGGCACGGGGACGGCAGGGAGAGGUGGAGCGGGGGCGCUCGAUGCAGGAGGAGGAAGGGCCAGGUGGAUCGGGAGGAGCGGGGCUCUCCCUAGCGAUGCGAGCAUGCGUGCGAUGGGGAUCGAGUGCGGCGCUGAGGGAGGACGAGGAGGGGGGUUCGAGGGAGAGAUGUUUAGCGAAUCGGGCAGAGAGUUAGGGUUAGUAGGGACUGGGCCGGAAUGGAUGGGCCUUGGCCUUGUGCCGGCGCGGGAGGAUGGGAGGCCCAGGCUGCUGGGCUCCUUCUCUCUCUCUCUCUAAAGAAAAUAAAAACAAAACAGAGAUAGGAAAGAAAAGAAAGAGGGGUUAGGGGAAGAAGUAGGACAUGGGGAUAAUUUUUCCGGACUCGCAAAAAUGAGUUUGUUCCGAGAAAAAUAGAAAGGCCAAGAUUGAAAGAUUAAAUUCAAACUCAUUUGAUUUAAAUUCAAAUGAUUUGAAUAGGAAGUGAGGGUUGGGAAGGUCCAAAAAUGUUUGGAUUUUUGGUGGAGCUCCGGAAAAUGAUGAAAUAAUUUAUGGGCAGAGUUGGAGAUCAAGAAUUAAGAUAAUAAAGGCAUUGAGAAUUAUUUGCAAGUGUGUUAUGGUGAUUUCCGAAACAAUGGAAUAUUUUAUAAUAUAGCUCCCUAAAUAUCGGGAGGGUAUGUUAUAAAGAGAAGUCACCAUGUGAGUUCCCUCGGUUUAAAUAGAUCAAAAGAUCUAUGCAAUUUAUUUAGAUGAGUUUUAAAAAAAAUAAAUGACAUGAUGGCAUGAUGCAAUGCAAAUGAUGCAACAAACAAAACAAAUCACACGACGAAACUCGGAGUAGCUGGAAGUCUUCUGGAGCGUCGGUCUCGGGGCGUUACAACACUCCACCACUACAAGAGGAUCUCGUCCCGAGAUCUAGGAUGGCACCGGAGAGAAAUGGAAGAGGAAGAGAAGAGGUAAAACUAAGUUGCUUCUUUGACCAAUGAGUGAAACCAAGGAACCUUGAGAGGUUGAACAAAUUGAAAGAAAGAAUACAAAGGAGAUGAACGAGAUUGCAAACAAUCCGUUAGAAAGAGGAACAAGGAACAUUACGAGAACUUGAAGGUUGCAAAGACAUGAAUCAAGAGUUUAAUGGACAAGAUAGAAUUCGAAACCACUCCGGUUAAAACAAGAUGAGAGGGGAAGAAUUCGGCAGUACUCCGGUUGAACAUGGAAGGAAUAGAACAUGAACUUGAGAAGAUGGGAUGUUACUUGAUGAAAUCAACAACACACUGCCUCCGGAACUAUUGAAAGAAUGACACAAUGGGUAAGAAGGAUUUCAGACAGCUCUCCAGUUGAGGAAGGAGGGAAAACUUGAUAAGAUUAGAGAACUCGAAUGAAAACACGACACUCCGGUUAAAUGGAUAAGCAAGAAAAGAACACGAUCCUCACGAAUCGAGAUGGUGAUUGAAAAGAACAACGUUACAAUGCCUCCGAAAGAAAUAAUAGAAGAUAUAUCAUUGGAAUAACAGAAUGGAGAAGAAAAUGCCAACUUCUGCCACAAAUGAGCUUGGAAAGCACUCUUCCAAGAAGGUUACAACGGGGUUGUUGGGAAAAACCAACAACGAAACGAAUAAGCUUGUAGUGGGCUUAUGGAAAACAUCUCAAAAUUAUGAGGUGACAACCGGCCACUAACGGAAACGAUUGCUAGCUUUAGAUCGACGAAGAGAUGAACACUUCUUCCACCAAGAUGAUAAAGAGAUAACUUGGAUCAUUGGCAAGCACCACAAAUAGCAACAUUCCAAUGGAAGGCUUUUAGGUGAAAUAUGACACAAGAUAACUCCAACAACGAGGUUGAUGGAUUUAAAAAUAACUCAUUCUUAACAACAUGUGAAUCAUGGAACAUGAACUCAAAUUAUCAAGAAUGACAUAAUACCACCUCCAAAAUAUGGUAGAAAGAAUUGCACUCCGGAUUACCAUAUGAAGAAAUCUUGAGCUCCUUAGGAAAGAAUCUCGAUGUAAACUUUGAGAAGGGAAUUAAAUCCUUGAUGAACCAUCAUGUAGAACCUCCAUGAAGAACUCCGGUAAACAAAAGGAAUGAAAAGAAAGAGAAAUUGAAAACACAAGGUGAAUCCUUGCAAUGAUUUAGAUGGAUCUCCGUGAUAAUUAGAGCUUGGAACUCCGGGAAAAAGAGAAGAUGAAACAAAUGAAACCGAGAAUUUUAAGGCCUCCGGAAUAAAGAAUUAAUCACUUGGAUGAACAAGAAUAAGAAUUAUGUUAUGCUUAUCCUUCACCAAUUAAAUUGACGACAAUCAACGGAUUUGGCAUACUACUUAUUCUCGUAGAAAGGAUUAAAAGAGAUAUAGCGUAAACUUGAAAAGGUCUUCAACGAACCACCGGUAGGAUUGGAACAACAAAUGAAUUGAUAUGAUGAACAAGGAAGAGAGAUCUUGAAAGAACCACCGUAAGAAUUGAAAAUGAUCGAAGUAGGGGUGCAUCACCGGUAAGAAUUAGCAAAUGAACGAAGGUGCUUGAGACAAACUAGAUACAUGAGAACAAAGAGAUCAAGAACUGAUUAGAGGAUAUUCGAUAGAUGCACCGGCAAGAUAGGAGAAUGAUAACUGACGGCUGAGAAUGAAUAAACCUGAAUUGAUGGACUCCGGAUGACAAACUGAGAAGACUCUUGAAUAUCUCCUGAUGGGUGAAAAAGAUUCUCACAAUCGAAAACAAUUAUGAGAGGAUGGCAACAAGCUAGCACCAUGAAUCUUGAAGAGAAUAGAGCAAGAUUAAAGAGAAACUCUUCUUCGGUCUUCAAAUGAUGAGAAUGACAACGAGAAACACCACCAAGAAUUAUUGAGGCACACCGGAAGAAUCAAAAGCGAAGAGGUUGAGCCAACUAUGAAAAGAAUUUGAAAGAUCUUGGAGAAAAGCAUUUGACUAAUGAUAACUCAUUCUUACGUCAAACUUGGAGAAGAAUUUAGGAUAGCUCUGGGAAAAUAGAAGAGUCAGGUAAGAUCCUGGGAAAAGACAUGUGGGUUAGGGCCCACUCAAAAGAACACCGUUGAAAAGAUUUAAAAGAGAUGUUGCACCGGUUGAAUUAAAUGACUUGAAUGAGAUACCAAUCUCGAAAGAGCUUGAACGAAUGCAGAGUGGAAACACGAAUCUUCGAGAUAUCUUGAGCACUCCGGAACAAUUUAAUAGCGAGAGAUGGAUGAUUAAGAGGUGCACCGGCAUAAGAAAAGCAUUGGGAAAAAAAGAAAAGGAGUAUGCUUAAUACCAAAGCUUGAAUUAAAUUCACCGGAGAAGAAAAGAACGAGGAAUGACGAACUUGAAGCUCCAUUAGAAUAUACGUGAGAAUCACCGGAUAAGAAUAUUGACGGGAAAAGAAUGGAGAGAUUUCCACCAAUAAAAUGGAUACUUGAAUAAGAAUCUGGGUCCUUGGAGAAAAACAAAGGGAGGGAGGGUGGGAAAACAAAGGCAACUUGGAGAUGGAUGACACAAACAACGUUGAGAAGAACUGAUACUUGAUCUUGUGAAUGUUGAAAUGAUCAGAACCACUUGGAGAGAAAACACGCCGGUUGAAAAGGAUUAACAUGACAAACUCGAUGAUCAAGAAGGAUUAGUAUUCACAUAGGAAUAUGAGAACACCAUUUGGAAAAGGUAUGGAAUCAACAUUUGACUUCGAAGCAACUCGAAUACCACAACUCAAAACAAAACAAAGGAUUGGCUUGCAAAAUAAGCCAGAACAAACAUAUGAUAGAGAUUUCGUCCGAAGUUUUCGUGGUGGGGCCUACAUGGGCUCGAUCGUACAGCACCAUCAUGUACAAGGCAGUGCACAUGACAUACGAAGCGUCCCCGAGUCGGCAUAGCCAAGGACUCUUUAAGACACAACGAGACCACUGUAAAAUCGACCGUGAAUAGGCGGACCACUAGACGUCGAACCCCAAUUUCAUAUCAUACAUCCGUCGGAAAGAUAUCCUAAGAGCUACUUGAAUUCCCACCUAUGAAACUCCCGAAAUUUUCAGGUUAUGCAAUCAGGUGUUGGGGAUACAGGGGAAGCAUAAUAUCUCACCCAAAACUAACAAAUCCUACAUCCAGCUGUAUCCAUCCUUCAACACAUAACCAAGAAACCUUUGGAAAUCAUCUACCUCAACAUUCGAAAAGCAUCCGUUAUACAAGUCAUGGCAAUACUCCCGUACUCACCUCAGUACUGGGUUAUCGGGGUUAUCUCACCAACAACUGCAUAAAAGAGAUUUUCGAUGUCGGCGUACUAAACUCAGGUAUUCCAGAACUGCAACGAUAAAAUUAUGACGACAACACCUCAGAGCUCAACUCCCCGGGACACUUCCACUAAACCCCUGACAGGAGGCACCAAGACAAUGUUGUCAUCAUAAAACCAUCGGAACAAUUCCAAGAUACCCGCGUGAUCCUAAAAAAAUUUAGUGAAAUUUGAGAAGAGAAGAGUCAAAACUCUACGUCAGGAUGCCUUACCAGAGCGAUGAGGAUAUUGGGAAGUAAAAACAAUUCCUAACUCUCCGAUAUAUAUAAUCCUCAAUGACUCAAAAUAUUUUUCUAGACACAACUCGGCCGCUAAAAACGAUCAAGCAAUGGGGCUCCUAAGGUCGGGGAAGGCUCUGAUACCAACUUGUAACGCCCUCGAUGCGGCUAUAUCUCCCACGCGUCGAAGCACGACUUAGAGGCAUAACCGCAUUGAAAGCAAUGUCGCAAGUGAGGUAAUCUUCACACAACCCAUGUAAUACAUAAGGGAAAGAGAUACAUAGUUGGCUUACAAUCGCCACUUCACACAAUUACAUGAAUAAAGCAUUACAUCAUCCAGAUACAAUCAAGGUCCGACUACGGAACCAAAAUAAAAGAAGAACCCCAAAUGCGACAAAGGUCCUCGAUCGACCCCAACUGGGCUCCACUACUGAUCAACUAGAACGAAACAACACAAAGGGCAAGAUCUUCAUCGAGCUCCUCCUUGAGCUUGGUUGCGUCAUCUGCACGGUAACAUAGGCACCUGC